GACGAACGCUGGCGGCGUGCUUAACACAUGCAAGUCGAACGGUGAAGCGCCUUCCUUUUUGGUGGGUGUGGAUGAGUGGCGAACGGGUGAGUAACACGUGAGUAACCUGCCCCCUUCUUCUGGAUAACCGCAUGAAAGUGUGGCUAAUACGGGAUAUUCUGGGUCUGUCGCAUGAUGGGUCUGGGACAGAUAUUGUUUCGGUGGGGGAUGGGCUCGCGGCCUAUCAGCUUGUUGGUGGGGUGAUGGCCUACCAAGGCGGUGACGGGUAGCCGGCCUGGGAGGGUGGACGGUCACACAGGGACUGAGACACGGCCCAGACUCCGACAGGAGGCAGCAGUGGGGAAUAGUGAACAAUGGGCGCAAGCCUGAUGCAGCGACGCCGCGGGAGGGAUGGAGGCCUUCGGGUUGUGAACCUCUUUCGCCAGUGAAGCAGGCCUGCCUCGUUUGUGGGUGGGUUGACGGUAGCUGGAUAAGAAGCGCCGGCUAACUACGUG
This 494-nucleotide ribosomal RNA is filed under the name uncultured bacterium. RNAcentral describes it as "partial 16S ribosomal RNA". It matches the Rfam family "Bacterial small subunit ribosomal RNA", at positions 28 to 507 of the family's 1533-position model. The record is from RNAcentral.